AGUACAGACGAGUUUGAUCCUGGCUCAGAACGAACGCUGGCGGCAGGCCUAACACAUGCAAGUCGAGCGCCCCGCAAGGGGAGCGGCGGACGGGUGAGUAACACGUGGGAAUUUUCCUCAAGGUACGGAACAACUCAGGGAAACUUGGGCUAAUACCGUAUGAUGCAGAGAUGCCAAAGAUUUAUCGCCUUGGGAUAAGCCCGCGUCAGAUUAGGUAGUUGGUGGGGUAAUGGCCUACCAAGCCUGUGAUCUGUAGCUGGUCUGAGAGGACGAUCAGCCACAUUGGGACUGAGACACGGCCCAAACUCCUACGGGAGGCAGCAGUGGGGAAUCUUGCGCAAUGGACGAAAGUCUGACGCAGCCAUGCCGCGUGAAUGAUGAAGGUCUUAGGAUUGUAAAGUUCUUUAGCCUGUGACGAUGAUGACGGUAACAGGAGAAUAAGCCCCGGCUAACUUCGUG
RNAcentral lists this ribosomal RNA (459 nucleotides) under uncultured bacterium. RNAcentral's name for it is "bacterial SSU rRNA". It matches the Rfam family "Bacterial small subunit ribosomal RNA", at positions 1 to 507 of the family's 1533-position model. The record is from RNAcentral.